This 420-nucleotide ribosomal RNA is filed under the name uncultured bacterium. Its description in RNAcentral is "bacterial SSU rRNA". It matches the Rfam family "Bacterial small subunit ribosomal RNA", at positions 356 to 773 of the family's 1533-position model. The record is from RNAcentral.
GAGGAAUAUUGCGCAAUGGAGGCAACUCUGACGCAGCCAUGCCGCGUGCAGGAAGAAGGCGCUACGCGUUGUAAACUGCUUUUAACCGGGAAGAAACCCCAGGACGUGUCCUGGGUUGACGGUACCGGAGGAAUAAGCACCGGCUAACUUCGUGCCAGCAGCCGCGGUAAUACGAAGGGUGCAAGCGUUAUCCGGAUUCAUUGGGUUUAAAGGGUGCGUAGGUGGGGCGGUAAGUCAGUGGUGAAAUCCUGCAGCUCAACUGUAGAAUUGCCAUUGAUACUGCCGCUCUUGAGUACGCUUGACGUGGGCGGAAUGUGCCGUGUAGCGGUGAAAUGCUUAGAUAUGGCACAGAACACCGAUAGUGAAGACAGCUCACGAAGGCGAAACUGACACUGAGGCACGAAAGCGUGGGGAUCGAAC